Rhineura floridana is the source of this 392-nucleotide long non-coding RNA. RefSeq lists it as uncharacterized. The record is from RefSeq and is a predicted model, not a curated record. The transcript has 2 exons. NCBI's taxonomy places the organism in Eukaryota, Metazoa, Chordata, Lepidosauria, Squamata, Rhineuridae.
ACAUCUUAGUCUCCUCUGCCUCCUGCUACCACCUGACCAGGAUGUCUUUCUCAGUGAUUGAAACACCUGUCUCCCCUUGCAACUAUUUCUGCAAUGCCUCGAAGUAAUUAGCUGCAAAUAAUUGCUAGUAAUCAUCAACAUUGAUCCUGUGUGUUUUGGAGUGGCUACUACAGCAUUCAGCUUGGACUGGGGAGAGCAAGAAUACAGUUUCUGCUGUCUGUGAUGCUUACUGGUCAGCCAUUCUCUCACAUACCUCACAGGGUUGUUGUGAGGCCAAAUGGAACAAAAAUAGGUGUGCCUCCCCAAGCUCCUUGGAGAAGUCUGGAAUUAAAAUGUAGUGUAUAAAAAUGUAAUAAAAUAAUAAAUGUCGACAUUAAUGACUCAAAUGGCAA